This 187-nucleotide unclassified non-coding RNA is filed under the name uncultured Kodamaea. Its description in RNAcentral is "sequence contains ITS1, 5.8S rRNA gene and ITS2". The stretch from base 141 to 187 matches the Rfam family "5.8S ribosomal RNA", at positions 1 to 47 of the family's 154-position model. Lineage: Eukaryota; Fungi; Ascomycota; Pichiomycetes; Serinales; Metschnikowiaceae. The record is from RNAcentral.
GCAAAUACCUUCUGGAAGUAAAAGCGUAACAAGGUUUCCGUAGUGACCUGCGGAGGAUCAUUAACAUUAAUUUACUACACACUGUUUUUUUACAACAAAACAAAUCUAUCUAAAAACAAUUCUUUACAAGAAAUUCUUAAAACUUUCAACAACGGAUCUCUUGGUUCUCGCAUCGAUGAAGAACACA